AUAAUUGUUAGGAUUGGAAGGGACCUCUGGAGAUGAUCCAGUCCAACACCUCUGCCAAGGCAGGGUCACCUAGAGCAGGAGACACAGGAAUGCAUCCAGGUGAGUUUUGAACAUCUCCAGAGAAGGAGACUCAACACCUUCCCUGGGCAG
This is a long non-coding RNA of Corvus hawaiiensis (hawaiian crow), 150 nucleotides long. RefSeq lists it as uncharacterized. Lineage: Eukaryota; Metazoa; Chordata; Aves; Passeriformes; Corvidae. The record is from RefSeq and is a predicted model, not a curated record. The transcript is spliced from 3 exons.